CCUACGGUGCGCAGCAGUCGAGAAUCAUUCACAAUGGGGGAAACCCUGAUGGUGCGACGCCGCGUGGGGGAAUGAAGGUCUUCGGAUUGUAAACCCCUGUCAUGUGGGAGCAAAUUAAAAAGAUAGUACCACAAGAGGAAGAGACGGCUAACUCUGUGCCAGCAGCCGCGGUAAUACAGAGGUCUCAAGCGUUGUUCGGAAUCACUGGGCGUAAAGCGUGCGUAGGCUGUUUCGUAAGUCGUGUGUGAAAGGCGCGGGCUCAACCCGCGGACGGCACAUGAUACUGCGAGACUAGAGUAAUGGAGGGGGAACCGGAAUGCUCGGUGUAGCAGGGAAAUGCGUAGAUAUCGAGAGGAACACUCGUGGCGAAGGCGGGUGCCUGGACAUUAACUGACGCUGAGGCACGAAGGCCAGGGGAGCGAAAGGGAUUAGAUACCCGGGUAGUC
This 446-nucleotide ribosomal RNA is filed under the name uncultured bacterium. RNAcentral describes it as "partial 16S ribosomal RNA". It matches the Rfam family "Bacterial small subunit ribosomal RNA", at positions 338 to 795 of the family's 1533-position model. The record is from RNAcentral.